UAAUAAGUGUUUUAUGGCACUUUUUAAAUCCAUAUCCACCUUGUGUGCAAUGUCAGUCGAUCUUCUUCUUUGAGGAUCGACCAAACAUCAACCUUUAUCUUUUAACUCUUUGUCUGAAAAAUAUUUAUGAAUAAACAAUUCAAAAUA
Molecule: unclassified non-coding RNA, 147 nt
Filed under: soil metagenome
Description: partial internal transcribed spacer 1
Source: RNAcentral